This 563-nucleotide ribosomal RNA is filed under the name Golovinomyces chrysanthemi. RNAcentral's name for it is "partial large subunit ribosomal RNA". It matches the Rfam family "Eukaryotic large subunit ribosomal RNA", at positions 75 to 650 of the family's 3401-position model. The record is from RNAcentral. Lineage: Eukaryota; Fungi; Ascomycota; Leotiomycetes; Helotiales; Erysiphaceae.
UUACCUCAGUAACGGCGAGUGAAGCGGUAACAGCUCAAAUUUGAAAUCUGGCUCCUACGGAGUCCGAGUUGUAAUUUGUAGAAGAUGCUUUGGGAGGUAGGGCCGGCCUAAGUUCCUUGGAACAGGACAUCAGAGAGGGUGAGAAUCCCGUAUGUGGCCGUGGCCUACGCCCGUGUAAAGCUCUUUCGACGAGUCGAGUUGUUUGGGAAUGCAGCUCAAAAUGGGUGGUAAAUUUCAUCUAAAGCUAAAUAUUGGCCAGAGACCGAUAGCGCACAAGUAGAGUGAUCGAAAGAUGAAAAGCACUUUGGAAAGAGAGUUAAACAGUACGUGAAAUUGUUGAAAGGGAAGCGCUUGCAACCAGACUUGGGUGUCGUGGAUCAUCCGAGGUUCUCCUCGGUGCACUCGACGAUGCGCAGGCCAGCAUCGGUUUGGGUGGUUGGAGAAAGGCUCUAGGAACGUAGCUCUCUUCGGGGAGUGUUAUAGCCUAGGGCGCAAUGCAGCCCAUCCGGACCGAGGACCGCGCCUUCGGGCUAGGAUGCUGGCGUAAUGGUUGUAAGCGACCC